AGGGUUCUUUCAUUAACACUUGGCAUCGUACUAAAGUUUCAUCGCUUUGUCGUCUCUACGGAUCUGUCGACUUAAAGGCGAUAGAUCAGAUGGGUUACCGUUUUUAACAUAAACGUACAGAGGAAUAAUGAAUCUUUAUUGAUGCUAUAAUUAUAUUGAGAGGAUUGAUAAAUCAACUAAUCAAACUUGAAGCUGAAGGUUUAUCACAUAAAAAUGCUCGUCGAGAAAAGUAUAUAUGGUAUAAAGUUCUUUUUAAGGAAUGUUAGUGUGAACGCAUUAAAUUCACAGUUUUGGUGAGAAACGUUCUCUGCGUGACACCUAAGCAUUUUACUAAAUAAAAGAUUCUCGUGAAGCCACAUCAUCACGUCACAUUCCUUGCCAAUAAACUAUUAAGGUAAGUUUUAAAAAUGCUUCUCCUUUAAUAUAUAGGAGAUUUCGGUAUAUAGCUGCAAUUAUUAAAUUAUUCAAUAAGUUAAACAAACUAUACGUGUAGGUCAUAUUCUUCAUGAACAAAGUAGUUCGGUAUAGAUAGCUGCAAUUAUUAAACUAAUCAAAACUGACAAAAUACAGAUGAUCAGAGAUAUUCAAGAGGCAAGAGUUGUGAGUAAACUCAAACAUACCACGCAGGAAGUCUGAUCUUCUGAUACAAAGAACUAUCAUGCACACUUUUUCCAAAAAUAAAGAGAUUGAUAAAGCAACCAUCCUAUCAUGUCAUCCCGGCUCUGUAAAAGGAAAAACUAUACAAAUAAUAUAUAACUUAUAUCUUCAAGAAUGUGUAAAUGUAUAUAGGAGUAUUAAACCACUACUCGACAUGUAAACUAUGCAAAUAAAAGCGGUGAUGCAACUCGGGCUUAUAAAGCAUUCAAAUCCAUUGAAUCACCUCUCAAUUUUUGUUGACUUUCUAAGCGCAUUGGUUUUAUCUUGAUUUUAUUUUCCAGUACUGCAUUUAGGUAUUCGCAAUCGAAGUUGGAAUGUUAGAGCAUGAUUAUCCAAGGAUUUUAAGAGGGUUUCUAAAGAAAAUCACUGAUUUAAUUAAAUCAAAAGUCAUAAUAAUUUGAGUAACCGAUCUUUAAUGUGAGAUUUUGGGGACUGUUUUAAAGAGGGGUUUUUAAAACACGUGUCAGCGUAUCAUGAAUUUUUUUUUUUCUUUCUUAUUUUUUCUUUUCUCUCUUUCUUUUCCUCUGUUUCUCUCGUGUUCUCUGCCUUCUUUGUCGGCGUUUCCUUCUCCUCUCUGAUUCUCCAGUGGACGACGAUGAGUUUAUGUUAAUCAGAAGCAUCAAGCAAACCCUCUGGUUCGCGAGACCUCUAUUCCGCCAUUGAAAAGGCUCUUAAAGGUUCACCAAUCGCCGGAUUAUUCCCUCCUCUUCCCCAAUGGUUUCCACUUAUAGUCGCUCUUGUAGCCUCAGGGUAAUUCCCCUCCGAACAUCCUUCGUCGGAAACUAUGUUAUGAGAGGUUUGUUGCAAGUGUGAAGCAAGUGUCAUUGUCAUCACUCACCUCGUGAAGCAAGUGUGAAGCAAGUGUCAUUGUACAAGUUUUGUAUGCAUGUGCGUAAGCAGUCACGGAGUUGUAUUGUACAAAAGUCAUGAAUAGAGCGUUUGUAUGCUAGUGUAUUAUCAGUGUACAAACUUUUGUAUGCUAGUCAGUCAGUCAUGAAUAGAUUGUUUGUAUGCUAGUGUCUUCUAUUAUCAGUCAGUAAGUCACAAGCUUUUGUCCAAUUCACGGACUGUUCUUUCCUUGUAUUCAAGUCAUGAAGACCAUAAAAGGCUUCUAUUAUCACUCU
Brassica napus (rape) is the source of this 1781-nucleotide long non-coding RNA. RefSeq lists it as uncharacterized. NCBI's taxonomy places the organism in Eukaryota, Viridiplantae, Streptophyta, Magnoliopsida, Brassicales, Brassicaceae. The record is from RefSeq and is a predicted model, not a curated record. The transcript has 2 exons.